CACGUAGGAUCCAAGCGUUAUCCGGAUUUACUGGGCGUAAAGCGCGUGUAGGUGGUUUGUUAAGUUGGGUGUUAAAUCUCUCGGCUCAACUGAGAGGUGUCGCUCAAAACUAGCAGACUGGAGGACGGUAGAGGAAGGUGGAAUUCCGGGUGUAGUGGUGAAAUGCGUAGAUAUCCGGAGGAACACCAGUGGCGAAGGCGGCCUUCUGGACCGCUCCUGACACUCAAACGCGAAAGCUAGGGGAGCAAACGGG
Molecule: ribosomal RNA, 253 nt
Filed under: uncultured bacterium
Lineage: Bacteria
Description: partial 16S ribosomal RNA
Rfam family: Bacterial small subunit ribosomal RNA
Source: RNAcentral